Molecule: ribosomal RNA, 473 nt
Filed under: uncultured bacterium
Lineage: Bacteria
Description: bacterial SSU rRNA
Rfam family: Bacterial small subunit ribosomal RNA
Source: RNAcentral
AACGAAUGCUGGCGGCAUGCUUUACACAUGCAAGUCGAACGGUAACAGGCCGCAAGGUGCUGACGAGUGGCGAACGGGUGAGUAAUGCAUCGGAACGUGCCCAGUCGUGGGGGAUAACGCAGCGAAAGCUGCGCUAAUACCGCAUACGAUCUAUGGAUGAAAGCGGGGGACCGUAAGGCCUCGCGCGAUUGGAGCGGCCGAUGUCAGAUUAGGUAGUUGGUGGGGUAAAGGCUCACCAAGCCAACGAUCUGUAGCUGGUCUGAGAGGACGACCAGCCACACUGGGACUGAGACACGGCCCAGACUCCUACGGGAGGCAGCAGUGGGGAAUAUUGGACAAUGGGCGAAAGCCUGAUCCAGCAAUGCCGCGUGAGUGAUGAAGGCCUUAGGGUUGUAAAGCUCUUUUACCCGAGAUGAUAAUGACAGUAUCGGGAGAAUAAGCUCCGGCCAACUCCGUGCCAGCAGCCGCGGGAC